RNAcentral lists this ribosomal RNA (484 nucleotides) under uncultured bacterium. RNAcentral describes it as "bacterial SSU rRNA". It matches the Rfam family "Bacterial small subunit ribosomal RNA", at positions 31 to 507 of the family's 1533-position model. The record is from RNAcentral.
GAACGCUGGCGGCAUGCCUUACACAUGCAAGUCGAAACGGGCAGGCACGGGAGCAAUCCUGGUGGCGAGUGGCGAACGGGUGAGUAAUAUAUCGGAACGUGCCCGGUCGUGGGGGAUAACGUAGCGAAAGCUACGCUAAUACCGCAUACGAUCUAUGGAUGAAAGCGGGGGAUCGCAAGACCUCGCGCGAUUGGAGCGGCCGAUAUCAGAUUAGGUAGUUGGUGAGGUAAAGGCUCACCAAGCCGACGAUCUGUAGCUGGUCUGAGAGGACGACCAGCCACACUGGGACUGAGACACGGCCCAGACUCCUACGGGAGGCAGCAGUGGGGAAUUUUGGACAAUGGGCGCAAGCCUGAUCCAGCAAUGCCGCGUGCAGGAUGAAGGCCUUCGGGUUGUAAACUGCUUUUGUACGGAACGAAACGGUGAGCUCUAAUACAGUUUGCUAAUGACGGUACCGUAAGAAUAAGCACCGGCUAACUACGUG